Rhipicephalus sanguineus (brown dog tick) is the source of this 1130-nucleotide long non-coding RNA. RefSeq lists it as uncharacterized. The transcript is spliced from 5 exons. Lineage: Eukaryota; Metazoa; Arthropoda; Arachnida; Ixodida; Ixodidae. The record is from RefSeq and is a predicted model, not a curated record.
ACUCCUCAGGGCGCACCAGUGCUGGGCGCGCCAGCGAGCGCCGCGCCCUCUGCACGCUUCAUCGUAAGCUAUUCCCGCCUGGCAGGCUCGCUGCCUCGCUCACGACACUAGGCAAACCUUUCUAGCCACGAUAGUUCUGCGUUCGUGUGUGUGUCGUCGUGCCGAGUUUUCAUACGGUCGACUUUUACCGCGCUGCCUCGCAUUGUGUGUUGUAUGUUGUGGUUACUGACGUUAAGCGCAAGUUCGUCACGCAGUGUUAUACGCGGUAGCUGGUAAAUAGUCACCAGAUGCCGGCCGUGCGACUCCAGUCUGCGACUGCUUUGUUCAGUGUGACCGACGGAGGCGAUUCAUAGUUUUGAAAAACACGUUCUUCAAAUGUUUCCGCACCUCAGUAGGGUGCCUUGAUGCGCGUUUUGUCCGCUCACAUCGAGGCACAGUACACGGCAGUGAGUAGCAGCGCUGCAAUCCUUUCUCGACGACGCGUUCUGUGGCCUUGGAAAAUGCCUUGACGCUCGGGGACGGCCGGUAGCUCGGCGAUUCCUCGCUUGGCGCACCAUUGAAAACCGGCGGUCAUCCAGCAGUGUACGCUGCCAGCGUAUUUUUAUUGCCAGAGGUAGCAAACAGCAGUGCCACGACAAACAGUGGAGUGCUGACCAUGCAGUCCAGAAGGUGGCUGAGGCAAGUAUGCUAUAGGAGGUGCUUAUUCAGGCAGAAGAAAUAAGCUUCCGUAGCCAACGUAAAGGAAGCAUCUUCAAAAAGCAGUGCUACAAGGAUGUGAGCAGCAGUUUCCCUUCAACGAACGGGUCAAAUUCAUGGAAGCCACAUGCCUGCUGCUUCUGGCCUACACAAACAUGCAGCCACCAUAGUAAAGUUCCUGCAAAGACAUUCUACACGAACUUGCCCAAAGGCAGAAGGAAGGCACGCACAGAUGGACGCACAGAAAUCAUGGGGCUGCCGUAGAAGCUGUGAAUGAGCAUUAACCUACGUACAGAAAGGAGCGAAGUGGAGCUGUCCAUGGGCUGUGCACACAGUUUCAUAAGCAGGCUUGCAACACUUUUGACAAAUAUGUUCCUGAAUACACCUGCCGAAGUGGCAUUUAAAGAAGCAUGUAGUAGUGUACUUCACUGUUU